UAGGGAAUCUUCCGCAAUGGACGCAAGUCUGACGGAGCAACGCCGCGUGAGUGAAGAAGGAUUUCGGUUCGUAAAACUCUGUUGUUAGAGAAGAACAGCGCAUAGAGUAACUGUUAUGCGUGUGACGGUAUCUAACCAGAAAGCCACGGCUAACUACGUGCCAGCAGCCGCGGUAAUACGUAGGUGGCAAGCGUUGUCCGGAUUUAUUGGGCGUAAGGCGAGCGCAGGCGGUCAAUUAAGUCUGAUGUGAAAGCCCCCGGCUCAACCGGGGAGGGUCAUUAGACACUGGUUGACUUGAGUGCAGAAGAGGAGAGUGGAAUUCCAUGUGUAGCGGUGAAAUGCGUAGAUAUAUGGGGGAACACCAGUGGCGAAGGCGACUCUCUGGUCUGUAACUGACGCUGAGGCUCGAAAGCGUGGGUAGCAAACAGG
Molecule: ribosomal RNA, 429 nt
Filed under: Bacteroidota bacterium
Lineage: Bacteria; Pseudomonadati; Bacteroidota
Description: Bacteroidetes bacterium partial 16S ribosomal RNA
Rfam family: Bacterial small subunit ribosomal RNA
Source: RNAcentral